CGGAAUACCACCAGCUGCCAGGGAGAACGAGCUUGGAGCUAGCGGCAGGGCUUAACCCGGCGAAGCUCUGAGAUGGGUUGCUGAAGGAUUCCGGGAGGCAGCUGCAACAGGGCAUCACUCACUGUCCAGGCAUAUCCGUUUCUGAGUGCAAAAGGAAGAACUUGAGCGAGCGGCAAUUGGAGUGAAAAUUGCUUUGUAGUAUCUAAAAGCAGCAUGGAUCGUGGGCAGCUGAGCUGCAACAAAUCAACAGAAAUUCAUGUGAAAAUCAUUGACCACCAUAUGCUGCUCCAGCUUCCUUCAGCUCCUAAUUCUAGGAGCUUGACAACUAAAGCAAACCACAGACAGCCACAGGCACUCACUGCCAGCCCUGACAAAAAAAAUCACAAAAGUCGCCUCACAGGAUCCUCAUUGGUUCUCAGAUAUCCCUUUCAGCAGCGAUGGAAGUUCCUGGCAGAGAAAGAGGAAGCAAUAAUGGCCAGCAAAGGUGACAGCACUGGUGGCAGCAACAGAGAUUAGUAAAAGUGAUGCCUAUGCCUUGUAGAGAAACUUCAACCACAGAUAAGUUAAACCUGCCUCCAGUUUUCAAGCAAAGUAUUCUUGGCAACAGACAUCCCUGUGGGAAGUUGAAUCUGGAGGUGAAAGAGGGCAGAGUCCAUGUGAUUACAGGACCUAUCCAUGGAUAUAUAUAAAGUAGCCAUUUGGAAUAUAUAUAUAUAUAUAUAUAUAUAUAUAUAUAUGUUGUGGAAUACUUUGUUGUUGUUGUUAUUCAGUUGCUAAGUCAUGUCUGACUCUUUGUGACCCCACAGACUGCAUCACACUAGGCUUCCCUGUCCUUCACUAUCCUUGGAGUUUGCUCAAACUCAUGUCCAUUGAUUCAGUGAUGUUUAUCUAACCAUUUUAUCCUCUGCUGCCCUCAUCUCCAUUUGCCUUCAAUCUUUCCCAGCAUCAAGGUCUUUUCCAAUAAAUUGGCUUUUUGCAUAAGGUGCA
Molecule: long non-coding RNA, 987 nt
Filed under: Bos indicus x Bos taurus (hybrid cattle)
Lineage: Eukaryota; Metazoa; Chordata; Mammalia; Artiodactyla; Bovidae
Description: lncRNA (ENSBIXG00000025049.1)
Source: RNAcentral